Molecule: long non-coding RNA, 1559 nt
Organism: Panicum virgatum (switchgrass)
Lineage: Eukaryota; Viridiplantae; Streptophyta; Magnoliopsida; Poales; Poaceae
Exons: 3
Source: RefSeq, a predicted model, not a curated record
UGCGCAAGUUUCCUUUUGUUUCGCAGGAGCACCACCCCGAUCGAACCCCAGGCCCCCUCUUCUCCCUCCACACCAUCGUCGCCUCAUCCUCCCCCACCACCCUGGGCCCUGCGGAGCUUGUCGCGGAGGGGCGGCCGUGCGGUGGCGGUGGCGGCGGCCCCGGCUGAGGCGGGCGCGGAGGAGGUCGUGCUGCAGCCCAUCCGGCGGAUUUCCGACACCGUGAAGCUUUCGGGGUCCAAGUCUCCAAUCGGAUCCUCCUGCUCGCCGUGCUGUCCGAGGAAUAGCAGCGUCCAAGGAAUCGAAUAUCAAUCUCCGGCAACGAGAAUCAACGUCCGGUGGCGCGAAUUGAUCUCUGGCACCACGAAUCGACCUACGGCGGUGUGGGAGAAGGGCGGAGAGCCACGGCGCAGCCUCGUGCUCGACGGCGUGGGAGGAGAAAGGCCGCGGCAAUCGUUGCCAACCUCUCUGCCAUGGAGGAGGGGGAUUAUGGCUCACACGAGGCGACUUCGGUGGCUCAACGUGACUCACCCUAAUGGCAGCAGUGAUGGGGCGUGCUCCCCGAGUAGCAGAGGUAGAGGUGACGCCCGCAGCCCAAGACGGCGGCGGGGUGCGCUGUCGCAAGGAGAGGGAAGGAGUUGUGAGUUAAUGAGCUUCUUGACUGUUCACUAACCUAUCGAGCUUCUUGAUUGUUGGUGUGUGCGCUGCACAUAUUUGAUGAAAUGCAUGACCUAGCACCAUGUCACAUUCAGAUUGUUGCGUGGUGAUUAUAUCCUUAAUAAAAUAUAACAUAGUGUAAGCACUGCUCUGCCACCUGACUGAUUUUUAGUGGCUCUCUAUGUAUGCAUAUAACAUAAAAACGUUAUUUGUAUUGAAGGCGGUAAUAACAUUUGCAACAAAGAGUACUAAGAGGGAAAGGAGCAAUUUUCAGAACAAGUCAAAAGAUUCACUGUUGACAAGUGAGGAAGCUUCUUCUGGCAGUGGAGGAAGCCUGGAAGAUAUAAUUGUUUCACAGACACAUUAUAUCUAAUGCAUUUGAGGCUUUUGGCUUUGGUACAUGGUCCAAAUAUUUCAUGUUAAUUUUCAUGAACUUUAUGUCGACAGGUUGGUUUUAAAUGACUGGUGCAUUACAUCUUUAGCUCUGCAAAUGGUGUGUUCUACAAUUUUUUACAGGCUGAUAUGUGCUACGAAGAGUGCCUAUAUCUCCCUCAACACCAGGGGCUGCGGAGACAAAUUGAUAUAGCAUUAUGCGUUACAGAGGUUACAAAGAUUGCUGGGUUCAAGUGGCCUGACCUAAAGGUUAAAUCAUGGCCUAUGGUGUGCACGUACAGAAGUUGAGGGAGAAGUAUGGAUGGAUCUCUCCCACAUAUUGUCAUGUCUUGCAUGGUGGUGUUGCACCAAUUAGGCAAUGUUUUAAAUUCUUGUAUCAGUAAUGGAUUAAGACAAGUUCUUAUGGUGGAUCUGAUAUGAUGUUCGCGCUUACUGUUAGUUUUAUUUUGUUUAUUUCUAUUGAUCUGUUAAUUAUGUGCUCACCAACACGUGAUAUAUAUAUUCUUGAUCUA